This 6545-nucleotide long non-coding RNA is filed under the name Homo sapiens (human). RNAcentral describes it as "HSALNT0262860". The record is from RNAcentral. Lineage: Eukaryota; Metazoa; Chordata; Mammalia; Primates; Hominidae.
AUCCAUUUGUUCACCAGAUAUAUAAUUUAUUAUGUUGCUUAUGCAUUGUACACUGUAACUCCAUUAUUCCAGCAACUCAAAACCCCAUCCAAUCACUUGGUUCAUCUCACUGUUACAAUCUCUAGGGUGUGUUGUCCUUUGCAUCAGAUUCGAAUACUGUUCCUAUAGCACAGGAAAACUAUAAACACAAUAUAUAAUUGUAUCCAUUCACAUCCAGUAUACAGGAGGCCAGGGACACAGUGGAAUGACAUGGUCAAAUUGCUGAAGAAAUAACUACCAACCCAGAUUUCUAUCCACAACAAUAGUAUUUUUCAGGAAGAGCACAAUAUAAGAUUAUAUCUGGUCAAAAAUUGGAAAUUUAGUAGAAAAGUAACCCUAAAAGUUAUCCUUAAGGCCAAAGGAAAGUGAUUACAGGUGAAAGUUCUGCAGUGGUAGAAGGAAUGAGAAUCCAAGAGAUGGAUGCAUCUGCAGAUCAAUACAAUUACUUAUUAUCUCUAUACAACAUGAACAAUAUCUUCUAAUUGAGCAGAAUAAUAGAUAUGCUAUACUCCAAUACCAACACUCAAUGACAUCCUUUGAUGUGUUCAAGAGAAGGGUAAAGGUAUUAACAAUUCUAUAAUAGGUUAGAGAAGUGUUACAAUUCUUAUCUUAGACUAAUGAAUAAAAUGAGUAUAUACAUUUCAAACUAAAAGAAAAUUAAGAUUAUUAAAACCUAUAUAUUUUUAAAAGAAAGCACAAAAAACAGCCUAGAAGAAAACCACAAAAUAAGAUGCAUUUAAAACCAAAUAUAUUAGCUAUCACAUGAAUUGAAUACAGAAUGCGUGAAUAGUAAUUUCUAAUGGAUUAAAAUAAUCCAGUAGUAGUUCAUAAAUUACACAUCUAAGAUAUAAUGUCAUAGAAAUAUAUGAAAUAGAAGAAUGAAAUAUGUAUACUUAUAAUUACUAAACACAAACACACAAAAAUGUGUAUUUGCAUCUGACAAGUAGGAAUAAGGAAGAAAACACCAGUAAAAUAUACUUUACAGUUUAUACACUUUUAAAAAUUUUAAUAUUACUUUUUAUAAAGAUGAGAGUUUCACUAUGUUGCCCAGGCUGAUCUCAAAUUCCUGGCCUCUGGCAAUCCUCCUGCAUAGGACUUCCAAAAUGCUGGGAUUAUAGGAGUGAGCCACUGCACCCGGCCUGUAUACAAUUUUUACCAUCAAUUCAAAUUACAUUAAAAAAAUUUAGUAUAAUGAGAGUAAAGAAUUAAAUAUACAGACAAACCAGGAUAUUUUAAUAUUAGCUAUCUCAGUAAUGAUUUCAAGAAGGCAGGUAUAACAUUGGUGAGGUUCUAUUAGAUUCAUACACCAUAAUGGACAAAUCUGGACUGACAGAUACAUACAGAACAGCAGAUAUCAGUUGCCGAAUGUUUUCUUUUAGCACAAACUGAGUAUUUAAAAAACUGACAAUAUGUAGUAUCAGAAAAAAUCUUUAACUUUCAUAGAAUAAAAGAGAGAAUACAAUCAGUGUAGAGAUCAACAAAAGAUACCUCAAACUCCUGGCCUCAAGUGAUCCUCUUGCCUCAGCCUCCCAAAAUGUUGAGAUUACAGGCUUGAGCCAUCAUGCCCAGCCUAGAUACCUGAUUUCUUUUUAAUUAUGCUUGAAAUUCAAAUUACAAAAUACUAAGUAACCCAUGCAUAGAGGAAACAAAAAUUGAAGAUUAUUUUAUUUGUAAAAUAAUGACAAUACCAAUUUCAUAGGACUUUUUAUUAGUAGUAUCAUAGGCAGUCUUCUGACAAAUUAGGAAAAGUAGAUAGGGUCUGUCCUUAGAGUAGUGGCUUGGGCUGAUUACCUAACUUCUCUGCACCUCAGCACUGUCAUCAUUACAUUGAAGGGGUCCCUACGGUGCCUUAAAGUGCUCAAGCUCUAUUAUUCACCACACUAUUUUGUCAUUUUUAAAUUAUCAUAGGAUAUUCAACCUGAAGUUUUACUUUACCUGCCCACGUCAUCUCUACAUAUUCUCAUGAGAUGCAGUUCAUGAAUUCUAAAGCAGUAUCAUUUAAUGUAUUAUUUUAAAAAGAUAUUUAGAAAGGUAUAUUCAUUUCAAACAUCUUUAAGAAUAACAGUAUAUCCACUUAAUACCAAAAAGCAUCUCUACAGCAUUAUUUCAUUUAUAUCAAUUUUUAAAUCAGCCAAAAAUGCAAAGCUACUAUUAGUAAUAUACAUUUAAGGUGUCGAACUAUGAAGAAAGUAAAAUGAGUAAGGCAAAAUUCUGGAUGGCGGCAUCCUCUGAAGGUGGAGGAUGGAAUUGGCAAUCUGGCAGGCUCAUGCCGGGCAUGCUGAUUUUGUUCUAUUAUAUAAUCAAGGGGCAGGGUUGAGUGUAUUAGUUUAUUAUAUUUAUCAUGUUUUCCCAUUUUUUAUUCAUGUAUAAGUAAAGAUUAAGUGGACAAAUCUUAAUAGCCUGAAGACUGUCUACAUGUGUUUCCCAUGUAAUUCCUAGUAAUGCAAAGAGAGAGAACAUUCCCAAUAGCUUCUCAGGCACAAAUUUGCCCUCUCAGUUAAUACUGCAUAAAUGUGACCAUUAUCUUGUCUUUUAUCAUCAUGUAUGAUGUUUGGUUAUGAACUUAACAACAUAAUUCUACAGUAUUUCCUACUGUGUAUCUGGUAUGCCACUGCCACUCAAGGUUUCUUUGAGAGGGAGACUAUAUAUUUGUUACUAUUAUUAAUGAAUCUAUUUCCAUGACUGCUGUGAAAAACCCAGGCUGAGUUAACAGUGAUGAGCUCUGGCCAGGCACAGUGGCUCACGCCUGUAAUCCAACACUUUGGAAGGCUGAGGCAGGAGGAUCACUUGAGCCCAGGAGUUCAAGACCAGGCUGGGGAACAUAGGGAGACCUCAUCUCUAGAAACUCACAGGUGGCAUGCGCCUGUGGUCUCAGCUACUAGGGAGCGCAAGGCAGGAGGACGACUUGAUGCUGGGUCAAGACCAGCCUGGGCCAUAUAUAUAGCAAGACCUUAUCUCUAAAAAAAAAAAAAAAAAAAAAAAAAAAAAAAAAAAAAAGAUUAGCUGGUCAUGAUAGCGCAUACCAGUAGUCCUAGCUAUUCUGGAGGCAGAGGUGGGAGAACUGCUUGAGCCCAAGAAUUCAAAACUGAGGUGUGAGGAUCACUUGAGCCCAGGAGUUUGAGUUGAUUGUACCAUUACACUCCAGCCUACGUAACACAGUAAGACCCUGUCUCUUAAAAAAAGAAAAAAAGAAAAAAGAAAAAUCUAACAAUGCUUCUCAAGGAACUAGAAAAGAACACAUCAGACCCAAAAUUACAAGGAAAGAAUUAAUAAAGAUCAGAAGAGUAAUAAAUAAAACUGAGACUUAAAAAAAAAUUCAAAGGAUCAACAAAAUGAAAAGUUCAUUUUUUGAAAAGAAACCAUUAGACUAACCAAGAGAAAAGACUCAAAAUCAAACACAUACAAAAAUGACACUGCAACUGAUACCACAAAAAUACAGAGUCAUUAGAGACUAUUAUGAACAACUACAAACCAAAAAGUUGGAAAACCUACAGAAAAUAAAUUCCUAGACACAUACAACCCAUCAGGAUUGAACCUAGAAGAAACAGAAAAUUUCAAUUGACCAAUUCUGAGUAACAAGAUUUAAGCAGUAAUAAAAAGUCACCCAUCAAAGGAAAGUCCAUGAUCUCAUGGCUUCACUGCUGAAUUCUACCAAACAUUUUAGGGGAAUUAAAUAUGAAUUCUUCUCAAACUUUCCCAGAAUAAUGAAGAGGAGGGAAUUAUUCUAAACUCACUCCACAAGCCAGCAUUACCAUGACACAAGCACCAGAUAAGGACACACACAUGCAAAAGAAAACUACAGGCCAAUAUUCCUGAUGAACAUAAAUGCAAAACUCCUCAACAAAAUACUAGCCAACCAAAUCCAAAAGUACAUCAAAAAGAUUGUUUACCAUGACCAAGUGGAAUUCAUUCUAGGGAUGCAAGAAUGGGUUCAACAUACACAAAACAAUAAACAUGAUAAAUCAACAGAAUGAAGAACAAAAAAUGUGAUUAUCUCCAUAGGUGGAGAAAAAGCCUCUGGUAACAUUCAAUAUCCCCUCAUGAUGAAAACUCUUAACAAAUUACACAUAAUAAUAGAAAGAAUGGGCCGGCCGCGGUGGCUUACACCUGUAAUCCCAGCACUUUGGGAGGCCGAGGCGGGCGGAUCACGAGGUCAGGAGAUCAAGAUCAUCCUGGCUAACAUGGUGAAAACCCAUCUCUACUAAAAAUACAAAAAAUUAGCCAGGCAUGGUGGUGGGCACCUGUAGUUCCAGCUACUUGGGAGGCUGAGGCAGGAGAAUGGUGUGAACCCAGAAGGCGGAGCUUGCAGUGAGCUGAGAUCAUGCCACUGCACUCCAGCUGGGCGACAGAGCGAGACUCCAUCUCAAAAAAAAAAUUAAAAAAAAUUAUAAUAAUAAUAGAAAGAACGUACCUCAACAUAAUAAAGGUAAUAAGUAACAUACCCACAGCUAACAUCAUGCAUAAUGGGAAAGUGCUGAAAGCUUUCUCUCUAUAAUCUGAAACAAAACAAGUAUGCCCACUUUCACACCUUUUAACAAAGUACAAAAGGUCUGAGACAGAGUAAUCAGGCAAGACAAAGAAAUAAAGGGCAUGCAGAUCAGGAAGCAUGAAGUCAAAUUAUCCCUGUAUGCACAUGACAGGAUCAAAUAUAUAGAAAACCCUAAACUCCAAAAGUGGCACCAAAAAAAUCUUAGGACUGAUAAAUUCACUGAACUUGCAGGAUAUAAAAUCAACAUGCAAAAAUCAGCAGCAUUUCUAUACACCAACAAUGAAUUAGCUGAAAAAGAAAUCAAGAAAGCCAUCCCAUUUACAAUACUUCAACAAAAAUAAAAUAAGAAUACAUGGAAAACUAUAUAACACUGAUGAAGUAAAUCAAAGAGGACACACAUAAAAAAGGAAAAACAUCCCAUGGUCAUGGAUUAGAAUGGUUACUAUAAAAAUGAACAUACUUUCCUGUAAGAGAUAGCUUAUGAAAAAAAAUGAACAUACUACCUCAAGUGAUCUACAGAUUCAAUGCACUCUUAACAAAAUACCAAUGACAUUUUUCACAGAAAUAGAAAUAGUAAUCCUAAAAUUCAUGAUAUCACAGAAGAUACUGAAUAUCCAAAGCAAUCCUAAGCAAAAAGAACAAAAUGGGAGUCAUCACACUACCUGACCUUGAAAUAUACUACAAAGUGAUGGUAACCAAAACAGCAUGGUUCAGGUAUUUUUUAAAAACCACACAAACCAAUGGAACAAAACAGAGAGCCCAGGAAUAAAUCCCAUUUACAGCCAACUGAUUUCUAACAAAGGCACAAAGAACAUUCACUGGGAAAAGGACAGUCUCUUCAAUAAAUGGUGCUGGGACACUGGAUAUUCAUAUGCAGAAGAAUGAAAGUAGACUCAUCUCUCACCAUACACAAAAAUCAACUCAAAACACCAAGUAUGCUGGCUCAUACCUGUAAUCUUAGCUACUCAGAAGGCUGAGUUGUGGCUCACUUGAGUCCAGGAGUUCAGGACCAAGCUGGGCAAUGUGGUGAGACUAUGUCUCUAAAAAAUAAUUAAAAAGCAAAAACAAAAAUUGGGAAUGUAUUUUUAGGGCAAUUUGAAUCUAUGCUCUCAGGAUAAUCAACUCAAAAUGGUUUGAAAGCUUAAAUGUAAGAGCAAAAACUAUGAAACUACAGAAGAAAACAUAGGGGAAAUGCUUCUGGAUAUUGGUCUGGGCAAGGAUUUUAUGAAUACCUGAAAAUCAAGGUAACAAAAGCACAAAUAAACAAAGGGAUUAUAUUAAACUAAAAAACUUCUGCACAGCAAAGGAAACAACAGAAUGAAGAGACAACUAGUAGAGUGGGAUAAAAUAUUUGCAAACUAUUCAUCUGAAAGGGAUUAAUAUCCAGAAUAUAAAAGGAACUCAAUAGCAAAAAAAAUAAAAAUAAAAAAUCUGAUUUUAAAAUGGGUAAAUAAGGUGAAUAGACAUCCCUCAAAAGGAGACAUACAAAUGGCCAAGUAUAUGAAAAAAUGCUCAACAUCACUAAUCAGGGAAAUGCAAAUCAAAACCACAAUGAGAUAUAAUUUCACCUCAGUUAGGAUGGCUAUUACCAAAGAUAAAAAAUAAAAAAUGCUGCUGAGAACAUGGAAAAGGGGGAACUCUUAUAUAUGGCUGGUAGGAAUGCUAAUUAGUAUAGCCAUAUGGAAAACAGUAUGAAUGUUCCUCAAAAAUCUAAAACUAUAGCCAGGCACGGUGGUGUGUGCCUGUAGUCCCAGCUACUCAGGAGGCUGAGGUGCAGGACUGCUUGAGCCCAGGAGUCUGAGACCAGCCUGAAUAACACAGCAAGACCCCAUUUUAAAAAAUGAAAAAUAAACAAAAGUUAAAAAUACAACUACCAUAUGAUCCACUGGUAAUGAUCUAUACCACUACUGGGCAUAUAUGCAAAAACAAAUAUAUCUAUACGUCAAAGAGAGAUCUACACUCCUAUGUUUAUUGAAGCACUAUUCAUAAUAGCUAAGAAAUCAGUCUAAGUGUCCAU